UGGGCAGGGCAGCAGAGCAGGAAGGUUCGAGGUCACUAUCUGAUAGCACAGAAUUUCUCUGUGACCACACAAAAGAUGUUAAGGCAAUGCAUGGUGAUAAUGCCUGCAAAGCAUUAUUGUACUUUACAGUACUGAACUAGACACUUAAACUUUCUCUAACAAUUACAUGUUAUAUAAAUUUGCCAUUGCAAAAUAAUGUGGGAAAUGGAGGUCAUAAUAAGACCUAUUAAAACAACUGUGAGAAAGGAAUGAGGUCAUAUGUGUGAAGCACUUAGCGCAAAGUCUGAGCGUACACUCUGUGCACAGAAUACCUGCCAUCUUUAUCCACUGACAAGAAGUCAGAAUCCUACGCUAUUGGAUGAAGAAUGAUUUUCUUCUAAUCAAGAACAAGUACCUUUUCACAAAUUCAACUAAGAUUGCAGGAUGCAGAGAUGCAGACAACGCAGACAACUGUGGCCAUUCCUUCAAGGACUUCAGCACACAGCCCAUGCUUGCCACACAACUGAUGAUCCUGCUUUUUGUACAGACAAGGCUGUUUGAGAACUCAGCUAAAUUCUCCUUUGAUCUCAGACCUGAAUCAAGGCAGGCUACCUUGACAUGAAUCAUUCCUACAGAACAUCUGCUAUUUCCAUUAGUCAGUUGUAUGGACUUUAAUUGACAAAUCAGUGCCUAUCCUUGUCAAGACCUUAGAAAGUGAAACAUAUCAUGAAAGAGCUAGCUGACUAGCUGUUACAAAAAAGAAAUGAAUGCCAUCCUCAGAGGACCUUGCUUCCACCUAUUUGGUUAAAUUUCUGGACGCUACCUGUCACAGUCCUUAAAUAGACAACGAAAUAAAAGAAAGCACAUGUCCUUUAUUUACUGGAGGCAGUACAGUGUUGUAAUAGCAGAGAGACUUAUGGCCGGACUGUUCAUAAUCUGGUGCCAACCUGUAAAAUUUUGCCUUUGUAUAAAAUCUAGUAGUAGCUUUUGUAAUGCUUUGUGCUUAUAUCAGA
RNAcentral lists this long non-coding RNA (992 nucleotides) under Fukomys damarensis (Damara mole-rat). RNAcentral's name for it is "lncRNA (ENSFDAG00000023713.1)". The record is from RNAcentral. Lineage: Eukaryota; Metazoa; Chordata; Mammalia; Rodentia; Bathyergidae.